This 23-nucleotide non-coding RNA is filed under the name Rattus norvegicus (Norway rat). The record is from RNAcentral. Lineage: Eukaryota; Metazoa; Chordata; Mammalia; Rodentia; Muridae.
UGAGUCUGGAUGACCUGGGUUCC